RNAcentral lists this transfer RNA (87 nucleotides) under Grosmannia clavigera kw1407. It matches the Rfam family "tRNA". From Rfam's summary of the family: Transfer RNA (tRNA) molecules are approximately 80 nucleotides in length. Their secondary structure includes four short double-helical elements and three loops (D, anti-codon, and T loops). Lineage: Eukaryota; Fungi; Ascomycota; Sordariomycetes; Ophiostomatales; Ophiostomataceae. The record is from Rfam by way of RNAcentral.
GGUCUAUUAGUCUAGUGGUCAGGACGUUGGAUUUUGACUAAUAAUAUCCUUAUUCCAAAGACACCAGUUCGAACCUGGUAUGGACCU